UUGACAUCCACGGAAGUUUUCAGAGAUGAGAAUGUGCCUUCGGGAACCGUGAGACAGGUGCUGCAUGGCUGUCGUCAGCUCGUGUUGUGAAAUGUUGGGUUAAGUCCCGCAACGAGCGCAACCCUUAUCCUUUGUUGCCAGCGAUUAGGUCGGGAACUCAAAGGAGACUGCCAGUGAUAAACUGGAGGAAGGUGGGGAUGACGUCAAGUCAUCAUGGCCCUUACGACCAGGGCUACACACGUGCUACAAUGGCGCAUACAAAGAGAAGCGACCUCGCGAGAGCAAGCGGACCUCAUAAAGUGCGUCGUAGUCCGGAUUGGAGUCUGCAACUCGACUCCAUGAAGUCGGAAUCGCUAGUAAUCGUGGAUCAGAAUGCCACGGUGAAUACGUUCCCGGGCCUUGUACACACCGCCCGUCACACCAUGGGAGUGGGUUGCAAAAGAAGUAGGUAGCUUAACCUUCGGGAGGGCGCUUACCACUUUGUGAUUCAUGACUGGGGUGAAGUCGUAACAAGGUAACCGUAGGGGAACCUGCGGUUGGAUCACCUCCUUACCU
Molecule: ribosomal RNA, 555 nt
Filed under: Salmonella enterica
Lineage: Bacteria; Pseudomonadati; Pseudomonadota; Gammaproteobacteria; Enterobacterales; Enterobacteriaceae
Description: bacterial SSU rRNA
Rfam family: Bacterial small subunit ribosomal RNA
Source: RNAcentral